This 1309-nucleotide long non-coding RNA is filed under the name Citrus x clementina. Its description in RNAcentral is "Citrus clementina (C. clementina) long non-coding RNA (CCLE_LNC000109)". The record is from RNAcentral. Lineage: Eukaryota; Viridiplantae; Streptophyta; Magnoliopsida; Sapindales; Rutaceae.
GAUAUGUAUAUUUUAUAAUAUCGAUAAAUUAUGUAUGUAUGUAUGUACAUACGUAUGUAUGAUAGUAUGUAAAUAUUUGAUGUAACUUUUAUUCAAUAUAUAGAUAUUAAAUGAGUUAUUGGGUAACCCGAUUAUUUUUUCGUAUUGGAUUUGAGUCUCAAUAUUUUGACACGAUUAUUAAAUAAGUCGGGUUUGGAUCGACCUAAAUUUGACACGACACGAACACGAUUCGAUGACCCAUUUUGCCAGUUCUACUUAAGCGGGGUCACCAUCACGUGAUCACACACACCAAACAUUUUUGCCAAUUAAUAAUUCCUAUUGCUUGCAAUGUGGGAAUUGGACCCGACGGUCGAUGUGAGGCUGAUUAAAAUCUUUAACUAAUUACUUUUUUUUUUGUCCCUUUAAACAAUUGAGUAAAACGCACGUAGUAUUACGAAAGCUGGAAAUCAUAGAAGUCAAAAGUUUUGAUAAAGAGAAUAAAGGGAGGAGAUAAUGUAGAAAUUAAAGGGUAAAAGCAUUCUUUCUUUCUUUUUGUUUUUUUCUUUCUUUCCCCCCUAUUUUUUACAAAAAGGGUAACCAAUAAGCCUGCAUUAUAGUAGGAUCCGGUGCUUAGAACUUUUUGUAUUGUCUUUUUGUGCGAUAAUGGUAAAAAAAAAAGUUAAAAAAAAAAUGAGUGGUGCUAUUGGCGCAUCCCCAACAUUCUCUUACAACCUCACUUAAUUUUACUUACAAUUUUAUCUCUAAUUGAAAUUUAUUCUCGACACCCACACUUUUUAUCUCUAAUUGAAAUUUCUUCUCGACGUCCACACACAUAAAUUGUACAUGAAGACACAUUGUAAAGCCAAUUAAUGUAAACAUUAUAAAAAAUGAUUUCCUUAGAAAGAAAUAAUUUUACACAUGAAAGCACUCACUCUCAUAUAGUUUGUUUGUAAAUCUUUUAAUACCCACGUGAUUCAACUUCCAGAAUUAGCUGCAUUCAGCCAACCAAACUUCAAAUUAUUCAUUUUCAUAGUAUAAAAUUAUGAAAAGUUGAAUAAAUAGACAAACUAUGAUAGAUAAAAAUAAUCAAUAAGAUAAGUAGUUAUUAUAUUGUUUGUAUUAUAUAUUCUUAAAUCCCUCGAUAAAUGGAUUUAAGGAGGAGGAUACUGCAAAAAAAAUUACCUGAAGAAGUUAAAGAAAGAGAACUUAAAUGGGCUUUGUUAGGAGAAAGAGUAAUAAAGGUAUUUGUGAAAUAAAAGAGGGCGUUUAAUAUAUAUAUAUAUAUUUUACUUUGUAUGGAAAAUGAGUUUUAAUUAAGAGGAUAAUAGAG